RNAcentral lists this transfer RNA (28 nucleotides) under Crocodylus acutus (American crocodile). RNAcentral describes it as "partial tRNA-Gly". The record is from RNAcentral. Lineage: Eukaryota; Metazoa; Chordata; Crocodylia; Crocodylidae.
ACCCUGAUAUCAACCUCAGGGAAGAGCA